RNAcentral lists this ribosomal RNA (94 nucleotides) under Nicoraepoa chonotica. Its description in RNAcentral is "partial 18S ribosomal RNA". It matches the Rfam family "Eukaryotic small subunit ribosomal RNA", at positions 1737 to 1830 of the family's 1831-position model. Lineage: Eukaryota; Viridiplantae; Streptophyta; Magnoliopsida; Poales; Poaceae. The record is from RNAcentral.
CCCCGACAUCACGAGAAGUCCAUUGAACCUUAUCAUUUAGAGGAAGGAGAAGUCGUAACAAGGUUUCCGUAGGUGAACCUGCGGAAGGAUCAUU